AUUGAACGCUGGCGGCAUGCUUUACACAUGCAAGUCGAACGGCAGCGCGGGGGCAACCCUGGCGGCGAGUGGCGAACGGGUGAGUAAUGUAUCGGAACGUAUCCUGUAAUGGGGGAUAACCAGUCGAAAGAUUGGGUAAUACCGCAUACGCACGAGAGUGGAAAGUAGGGGAUCGCAAGACCUUACGUUAUAGGAGCGGCCGAUAUCUGAUUAGCUAGUUGGUGGGUAAAGGCCUACCAAGGCGACGAUCAGUAGCUGGUCUGAGAGGAUGAUCAGCCACACUGGGACUGAGACACGGCCCAGACUCCUACGGGAGGCAGCAGUGGGGAAUUUUGGACAAUGGGCGAAAGCCUGAUCCAGCCAUGCCGCGUGCGGGAAGAA
RNAcentral lists this ribosomal RNA (381 nucleotides) under uncultured bacterium. Its description in RNAcentral is "bacterial SSU rRNA". It matches the Rfam family "Bacterial small subunit ribosomal RNA", at positions 30 to 412 of the family's 1533-position model. The record is from RNAcentral.